This 412-nucleotide ribosomal RNA is filed under the name uncultured microorganism. RNAcentral's name for it is "bacterial SSU rRNA". It matches the Rfam family "Archaeal small subunit ribosomal RNA", at positions 330 to 745 of the family's 1478-position model. The record is from RNAcentral.
GUGCAGCAGUCGAGAAUACUUUACAAUGUGCGAAAGCACGAUAAGGGAACUCUGGGUGCCUCCUAAGGAGGCUGUUCAGGUGUCUAAAAAGCACCUGGAGUAAGGGCUGGGUAAGACCGGUGCCAGCCGCCGCGGUAACACCGGCAGCCCAGGUGGUAGCCACUUUUAUUGGGUCUAAAGCGUCCGUAGCCGGUUGAGUAAGUUCCUUGGGAAAUUUGGCUGCUCAACAGUCAAGCUUCCAGGGAAUACUGCUCGACUUGGGACUGGGAGAGGUCAGAGGUACUCCAGGGGUAGGGGUGAAAUCCAUUAAUCCCCGUGGGGGACCACCGGUAGCGAAGGCGUCUGACCAGACCAGGUCCGACGGUGAGGGACGAAGGCUAGGGGCGCGAACCGGAUUAGAUACCCCGGUAGU